GAUUUAUCGCUAUUAGAUGAGCCUAUGUUAGAUUAGCUAGUUGGUAGGGUAAAGGCCUACCAAGGCAGUGAUCUAUAGCUGGUCUGAGAGGAUGAUCAGCCACACUGGAACUGAGAUACGGUCCAGACUCCUACGGGAGGCAGCAGUGGGGAAUAUUGGACAAUGGGCGCAAGCCUGAUCCAGCUAUGCCGCGUGAGUGAGGAAGGCCUUAGGGUUGUAAAACUCUUUCAGUGGGGAAGAUAAUGACGGUACCCACAGAAGAAGUCCCGGCAAACUCCGUGCCAGCAGCCGCGGUAAUACGGAGGGGGCAAGCGUUGUUCGGAAUUAUUGGGCGUAAAGGGCAUGUAGGCGGUUCGGUAAGUUAAAGGUGAAAUGCCAGGGCUUAACCCUGGAGCUGCUUUUAAUACUGCCAGACUCGAGUCCGGGAGAGGAUAGCGGAAUUCCUAGUGUAGAGGUGAAAUUCGUAGAUAUUAGGAGGAAC
This 481-nucleotide ribosomal RNA is filed under the name uncultured Anaplasma sp. Its description in RNAcentral is "bacterial SSU rRNA". It matches the Rfam family "Bacterial small subunit ribosomal RNA", at positions 206 to 707 of the family's 1533-position model. Lineage: Bacteria; Pseudomonadati; Pseudomonadota; Alphaproteobacteria; Rickettsiales; Anaplasmataceae. The record is from RNAcentral.